GAUGAACGCUGGCGGCGUGCCUAAUACAUGCAAGUCGAGCGAACAGACGAUAAGCUUGCUCCUCUGACGUUAGCGGCGGACGGGUGAGUAACACGUGGAUAACCUACCUAUAAGACUGGGAUAACUUCGGGUAACCGGAGCUAAUACCGGAUAAUAUAUUGAACCGCAUGGUUCAAUAGUGAAAGACGGUUUUGCUGUCACUUAUAGAUGGAUCCGCGCUGGAUUAGCUAGUUGGUAAGGUAACGGCUUACCAAGGCGACGAUGCUUAGCCGACCUGAGGGGGUGAUGCAGCACCAUGGAACUGGAACACGGUCCAGACUCCUACGGGAGGCAGCAGUAGGGAAUCUUCCGCAAUGGGCGGAAGCCUGACGGAGCAACGCCGCGUGAGUGAUGAAGGUCUUCGGAUCGUAAAACUCUGUUAGUAGGGAAGAACAAAUGUGUAAGUAACUCUGCACGUCUUGACGGUACCUAAUCAGAAAGCCACGGCUAACUACGUG
RNAcentral lists this ribosomal RNA (497 nucleotides) under uncultured bacterium. RNAcentral's name for it is "partial 16S ribosomal RNA". It matches the Rfam family "Bacterial small subunit ribosomal RNA", at positions 28 to 507 of the family's 1533-position model. The record is from RNAcentral.